UCUAUAUUUUUUGCGAAUAACCUGAAGAUGAAUUAUGAAAGGGUGUGACAAUUAUCAGUAAUGCAGGAAGACGCAGAGGUAGAGCAAGAAGAAUAGUGAAAAGAGAGAGCUAAAUAAGGAGCAAAUUAUUGGCAUGGGAAAAAUUCCGAUACAAUUUCCUGGUCUAAACACUCCUGUGUUUAAAGGAAAAGAAUUAAUUCAACAGCAAAAACUGCUUGUAAAUCUUGAAAGAAAGCAAAAACUUAUGGAAUUACAAAGUCAGACCAGACCAAUGCAAAUAAAAUUAUCGCCAUUGGAAUGUGGUUGGAUGAGUGUUACAAUGGAUGGCAGAAGCAUUGAAUUAGAUCUUAUAGGAAAAGAUACAUUUGAAAGUUUUGAAACCUGGAUUUUGGAAAACAAAAUGAUAACUUGUAUUACUGGUAAUUUAGCACGUAAGACUAGAAUCAGUUCAUUUAUAGUAACUGGAAAUGGAAAUGGAUUAGCUGAAUUUGCGUUAUCAAAAGCCAAAGCAUCCCUAAAGAUGGUUAAAAAUAGGGCUGGUCAAAGACUAAUGUAUAUUCCUACAUAUAAGGAAUACACUGUGUUACAUGAUUUCUUUACACAGUUUGAGAAUAUAAAAAUAUUUGUAAAGAAAAUUCAUGAAGGAUAAUGGGCUUGUUUGUCAUCAUGCGAUAAAAGCGUGUUGCGAGAUAAUUGGCAUAAAGAAUAUGUAUGCCAAAGUACAAAGAGAAAUGUAAAAGCAUUCUUUAUUGGUUUAUUGCAACAGAUAUUUCUAUUG
Molecule: unclassified non-coding RNA, 778 nt
Filed under: Camponotus floridanus (Florida carpenter ant)
Lineage: Eukaryota; Metazoa; Arthropoda; Insecta; Hymenoptera; Formicidae
Description: putative 28S ribosomal protein S5, mitochondrial, transcript variant X1
Source: RNAcentral